Molecule: long non-coding RNA, 251 nt
Filed under: Panax ginseng (ginseng)
Lineage: Eukaryota; Viridiplantae; Streptophyta; Magnoliopsida; Apiales; Araliaceae
Description: long non-coding RNA (PGIN_LNC007873)
Source: RNAcentral
AAAUAGUUAAAAACUAUUUUUCAGACUUUUAAAUAAUUUUUCAUAAUUUAUUUGGUAUUUUUUAUAAUUAAAAUCUAAUUUUUCUAAUUUUUAAAUCAUUUUUCGGAAAAUCAGAAAUUAAAAUAAUUAAAACUGUCGCUAAAGGCCCCUAUAGUGACAGAAGUGUCGCUAUAGGUGUUCUUGAGCCUACCCAGAUCUUUAUAAGGCAGAACCGAGUGGCCUACUUUGACCGUGAAUAACUCUCUCAUCNN